UGGUUCUGGCAUNGAUGAAGAACGCAGCGAAAUGCGAUAAGUAAUGUGAAUUGCAGAAUUUAGUGAAUCAUCGAAUCUUUGAACGCACAUUGCGCCCCUUGGUAUUCCGAUGGGCAUGCACGUUCGAGCGUCAUCAAACACCCUCAAGCCCUGGGCUUGGUGUUGGGCCUGCCGGUAGAACGGCUCGCCCCAAAACCAGUGGCGGCGCCAUAUGGCUCUCAGCGCAGUAAUGUUCCUCGCUGUUGCGCCUGGUGGUCCGCUGGCCAGCAACCCCAUACACCUAAGUUUGACCUCGGAUCGUGUAGGAGUACCCGCUGA
Molecule: unclassified non-coding RNA, 318 nt
Filed under: uncultured fungus
Lineage: Eukaryota; Fungi
Description: partial contains 5.8S ribosomal RNA and internal transcribed spacer 2
Rfam family: 5.8S ribosomal RNA (bases 1-133)
Source: RNAcentral